CACGUAGGGCGCAAGCGUUGUCCGGAAUUACUGGGCGUAAAGGGCUCGUAGGCGGCCAACUAAGUCAGACGUGAAAUCCCUCGGCUUAACCGGGGAACUGCGUCUGAUACUGGAUGGCUUGAGGUUGGGAGAGGGAUGCGGAAUUCUAGGUGUAGCGGUGAAAUGCGUAGAUAUCUGGAGGAACACCGGUGGCGAAGGCGGCAUCCUGGACCAAUUCUGACGCUGAGGAGCGAAAGCCAGGGGAGCAAACGGG
Molecule: ribosomal RNA, 253 nt
Filed under: uncultured bacterium
Lineage: Bacteria
Description: partial 16S ribosomal RNA
Rfam family: Bacterial small subunit ribosomal RNA
Source: RNAcentral